This 365-nucleotide unclassified non-coding RNA is filed under the name uncultured Cenococcum. RNAcentral describes it as "sequence contains ITS1, 5.8S rRNA gene and ITS2". The stretch from base 13 to 166 matches the Rfam family "5.8S ribosomal RNA". Lineage: Eukaryota; Fungi; Ascomycota; Dothideomycetes; Gloniales; Gloniaceae. The record is from RNAcentral.
GCAACGAAUCAAAACUUUCAACAACGGAUCUCUUGGUUCUGGCAUCGAUGAAGAACGCAGCGAAAUGCGAUAAGUAGUGUGAAUUGCAGAAUUCAGUGAAUCAUCGAAUCUUUGAACGCACAUUGCGCCCCUUGGUAUCCCGAGGGGCAUGCCUGUUCGAGCGUCAUUUCACCACUCAAGCCUGGCUUGGUGUUGGGCGACGUCCCCCUUUAGGGACGCGCCUCGAAACGCUCGGCGGCGUGGCACCGGCUUUAAGCGUAGCAGAAUCUUUCGCUUUGAAAGUCGGGGCCCCGUCUGCCGGAUUACCUACUCACAAGGUUGACCUCGGAUCAGGUAGGGAUACCCGCUGAACUUAAGCAUAUCAA